RNAcentral lists this long non-coding RNA (226 nucleotides) under Cercocebus atys (sooty mangabey). RNAcentral describes it as "lncRNA (ENSCATG00000045769.1)". Lineage: Eukaryota; Metazoa; Chordata; Mammalia; Primates; Cercopithecidae. The record is from RNAcentral.
UCACGAGCAGGCGCUGCGCCCCAACCGGCCGGCUCCUGGCGGGCCCGUUGCGGAGAAGCUCCUCAAUGGCCAGCGGCAGCUGCAGCCUCCGCCGUACACUCGCCUCACCUGAUCCCGGGAUGUUGAUUGCUCAUGCCAAAGCCUUGGAACCCUCCCCGCCCUGGGUGACUUUUCGGUGGGACCCACCUCCAGCACCCCUAUGCAUGCGCGCCAAGGGGGUGGGAGC